Long non-coding RNA from Asterias rubens (European starfish), 2564 nucleotides. RefSeq lists it as uncharacterized. NCBI's taxonomy places the organism in Eukaryota, Metazoa, Echinodermata, Asteroidea, Forcipulatida, Asteriidae. The transcript has 2 exons. The record is from RefSeq and is a predicted model, not a curated record.
GAGAUACACCAAGCAUGCCAAGUGAGAAGACUGGUCUUUGACAGUUACCUACAUGUAAGGUGUCCAGAGUCUUUAAGUCCUUUACCAUAGUUAGACAUUCAAUAUUCAUACAUUAAGUUUGUUCAAAAUGAUCUACAUGUAUAGGAUGUCAGUGGUAACAAUUGUAGUCCAAAGCAUGAAUCUAAAAUGUAACAACCCCUGUGCAUUGAUUGAUCUAACCUUUGAUGCUCGUGAAACUGUUGUUGUAUCUCAAGUUCCUGUAGAGUUUGCUUCUCUUUGGAUAUUUGUCCUUAAAAGCUUUAAAUUUAUAAAUCCAUACUAAAUGUGAAAUGCACAUAUACUGUACAUGAAUGUCCCAAACAUAGACUGUUGACACGUCUAUCCAUAGACUGUCGACACGUCUAUCCAUAGACUGUUGACACGUCUAUCCAUAGACUGUUGGCACGUCUAUCCAUAGACUGUUGGCACGUCUAUCCAUAGACUGUUGGCACGUCUAUCCAUAGACUGUCGACACGUCUAUCCAUAGACUGUUGGCACGUCUAUCCAUAGACUGUUGACACGUCUAUCCAUAGACUGUUGACACGUCUAUCCAUAGACUGUUGACACGUCUGUCCAUAGACUGUUGACACGUCUGUCCAUAGACUGUUGGCACGUCUAUCCAUAGACUGUUGGCACGUCUAUCCAUAGACUGUUGGCACGUCUAUCCAUAGACUGUUGGCACGUCUAUCCAUAGACUGUCGACACGUCUAUCCAUAGACUGUCGACACGUCUAUCCAUAGACUGUCGGCACGUCUAUCCAUAGACUGUUGGCACGUCUAUCCAUAGACUGUUGACACGUCUAUCCAUAGACUGUUGGCACGUCUAUCCAUAGACUGUUGACACGUCUAUCCAUAGACUGUUGACACGUCUAUCCAUAGACUGUUGACACGUCUAUCCAUAGACUGUUGACACGUCUAUCCAUAGACUGUUGGCACGUCUAUCCAUUGACACGUCUAGCCAUAGGCUGUUGACACGUCUAUCCAUAGACUAUUGGCACGUCUAUCCAUAGGCUGUUGACACGUCUAUCCAUAGACUGUCGGCACGUCUAUCCAUAGACUGUCGACACGUCUAUCCAUAGACUGUCGACACAUCUAUCCAUAGACUGUUGACACGUCUAUCCAUUGACAGGUUUGCAUGCAACAGUUUGCAUCUCUCUGAUACAGUAUAGAAAUUAAUGCAAUGGAUACUUUGAAUGUCAUUAUUUAUAGUCUGUUAUUACUGUUGGUGUGGUGGGUUGGGGGUGUUGAGCACAGUAGAGAAGACAGCAACUAUGGUUGUUCAAUAUAGGCAAUUGCCAAUAGAGGGGGGCCCUGCAGUUUACCAGGAAAUGCUAGUUUUGUGACCAGCCUGCCACUUGAUGAUUUGGUUGUUAAUGUUUGUUCAGUUUUGUUUACGCUUGAUUGCUGAUAAUUUAGACUUAAGAUCACUAGGGGCCUUUGUUAAGUUAAAUUUAUUUUGAAGCUGAUACAAUUCAUAGUGAUGUGAAUAAUAUGCUCUGUCCAUUGCCCCUUCAAUGCGGCAAGCAAAAGCAGGAUAGUCAAGCUCAUUCCUGAAGAUGACCAGAGCAAAUGUGCCUCUGUUCUAAGGUUAUUUACUCAUUUCACAGUAAUCAUAACUCUCUCUUUACUAUGUGCGGAUGCAAACCUCAGUGACAAAAUCUUUGCAAUUUUGUAUGGUUUUAGGACAGAUGUAACUGAUAUGCCAAAUUCUACCCUUUUUUUUUUAAAGCACUCAAAGUUAUAUGUUUAACUUACGUUUCCCAGCAAGUACACUUAAUUUAUUGUUAAUCUAUUUCUUGUUAUAAAGUAUAUUCUCUAAGGUUGUGCACAACAUUGGUAAGAUAGGGAAUUUGAUUGUUCCCAGAUUUGUCCAGAUAAGAUGGACAUUGUGGAAAACUUGCUUGAAAUGCUGUAUUUUCUUUAGGGGAAAUAAUGAGUAAAAUUAUUAGUUUUGAUUGCUUGUGAACAAAACCUGUUUGAACAUUGAAAACAUAAAGUUUGGAUUUACAGACUCUGAAGAGCGUUUGAGUUUCAAAUUUCAGAGGUUUAUUAUUUAAUAUAUUAUAUUAUGGGUCACGUCAAGUGGAUACAUUUAAAUGUACAUUCAAAAAACCAUUCAGUCACCAUUGUGCCAUCUCUUAAACAUCUCAUUGAUGUGGUUUUCAGUCAUUGACAAUUGGAAGUUUAAUGUGUGUUCCUGUCUAUACCUCAGCAGUCAUGUUUGCAGUAAAUUGUUGGACUUCUAAAAUGUCCCUUAACUAGAUUAAAGCAAAUAAAGAAGUCACAUUUUUAGAGCAAUCUGCACAACAGUUUGUUGUACAUACAUGGAAAACUAAAUCAAAUUGGUACAUUGUAAAAGUAACUGUACAAAAAGUAUGCAUAUUAUUUUACAUAUUUGUGAGAGCUUUUGUAAUAUUUCAGCUAUAUAUGGUACCUACACACAUUUAGCAAGCAAAAGAAGCUCCUAAUGCAAAGGGAAACAUAUUGGUUGCAACAUUAAAGGCAGUGGACACUAUUGGUAAUUCC